This 301-nucleotide ribosomal RNA is filed under the name uncultured bacterium. RNAcentral's name for it is "partial 16S ribosomal RNA". It matches the Rfam family "Bacterial small subunit ribosomal RNA", at positions 509 to 809 of the family's 1533-position model. The record is from RNAcentral.
CAGCAGCCGCGGUAAAACGUAGGGUGCAAGCGUUAAUCGGAAUUACUGGGCGUAAAGCGUGCGCAGGCGGUUUGUUAAGACAGAUGUGAAAUCCCCGGGCUCAACCUGGGAACUGCAUUUGUGACUGGCAAGCUAGAGUAUGGCAGAGGGGGGUGGAAUUCCGCGUGUAGCAGUGAAAUGCGUAGAUAUGCGGAGGAACACCGAUGGCGAAGGCAGCCCCCUGGGCCAAUACUGACGCUCAUGCACGAAAGCGUGGGGAGCAAACAGGAUUAGAUACCCCCGUAGUCCCUGUCUCUUAUAA